This 392-nucleotide ribosomal RNA is filed under the name Chrysophyceae sp. RNAcentral's name for it is "partial small subunit ribosomal RNA". It matches the Rfam family "Eukaryotic small subunit ribosomal RNA", at positions 582 to 975 of the family's 1831-position model. The record is from RNAcentral. Lineage: Eukaryota; Chrysophyceae.
AUUCCAGCUCCAAUAGCGUAUACUAAAGUUGUUGCAGUUAAAAAGCUCGUAGUUGAAUUUCUGGAUUCGAACUGUGGUCAGUCAUUGAUUUGAUUUGCACCUUUUGUUUGGAUCCAUCCUCGGAGAAAACAUAUCUGGCAUUCAGUUGUUGGAUAUGGGAUCUUCGUCAUUUACUGUGAGCAAAAUAGAGUGUUCAAAGCAGGCUUAUGCCGUUGAAUACAUUAGCAUGGAAUAAUAAGAUAGGACUAUGGUACUAUUUUGUUGGUUUGUGCACCAUGGUAAUGAUUAAUGGGGACAGGUGGGGGUAUUCGUAUUCCAUUGUCAGAGGUGAAAUUCUUGGAUUUAUGGAAGACGAACUACUGCGAAAGCAUUUACCAAGGAUGUUUUCAUCG